GGCUUCAUGGUCUAGUGGUAUGAUUCUCGCUGAAAGUGCGAGAGGCCCCGCGUUCGAAUCGCGGUGGAGCCC
Non-coding RNA from Arthrobotrys conoides, 72 nucleotides. Lineage: Eukaryota; Fungi; Ascomycota; Orbiliomycetes; Orbiliales; Orbiliaceae. The record is from the annotation of a GenBank genome assembly.